AGUGAACGCUGGCGGUAGGCCUAACACAUGCAAGUCGAACGGCAGCACAGUAAGAGCUUGCUCUUACGGGUGGCGAGUGGCGGACGGGUGAGGAAUACAUCGGAAUCUACUUUUUCGUGGGGGAUAACGUAGGGAAACUUACGCUAAUACCGCAUACGACCUACGGGUGAAAGCAGGGGAUCUUCGGACCUUGCGCGAUUGAAUGAGCCGAUGUCGGAUUAGCUAGUUGGCGGGGUAAAGGCCCACCAAGGCGACGAUCCGUAGCUGGUUUGAGAGGAUGAUCGGCCACACUGAAACUAGGACACGGUCCAAACUCCUACGGGAGGCAGCAGUGGGAAAUAUUGGACAAGGGGCGCAAGCCUGAUCCAGCCAUACCGCGUGGGUGAAGAAGGCCUUCGGGUUGUAAAGCCCUUUUGUGGGGAAAGAAAAGCGGCAGGUUAAUACCCCGCGGUUCUGACGGUACCCAAAGAAUAAGCACCGGCUAACUUCGU
Molecule: ribosomal RNA, 491 nt
Filed under: uncultured bacterium
Lineage: Bacteria
Description: partial 16S ribosomal RNA
Rfam family: Bacterial small subunit ribosomal RNA
Source: RNAcentral